RNAcentral lists this ribosomal RNA (438 nucleotides) under uncultured bacterium. RNAcentral describes it as "bacterial SSU rRNA". It matches the Rfam family "Bacterial small subunit ribosomal RNA", at positions 29 to 507 of the family's 1533-position model. The record is from RNAcentral.
AACGAACGCUGGCGGCUAGGCUUAACACAUGCAAGUCGAACGCUCGUAGCAAUACGGGAGUGGCGGACGGGUGAGUAACGCGUGGGAACGUGCCCUGAGGUACGGAAUAACUGCGGGAAACUGCAGCUAAUACCGUAUGAGCCCCGUGAGGGGGAAAGAUUUAUCGCCUUAGGAGCGGCCCGCGUCGGAUUAGCUAGUUGGUGGGGUAACGGCUUACCAAGGCUUCGAUCCGUAGCUGGUCUGAGAGGACGAUCAGCCACACUGGGACUGAGACACGGCCCAGACUCCUACGGGAGGCAGCAGUGGGGAAUCUUGCGCAAUGGGGGCAACCCUGACGCAGCCAUGCCGCGUGAAUGAUGAAGGCCUUAGGGUUGUAAAGUUCUUUUGCCCGUGACGAUGAUGACGGUAACGGGAGAAUAAGCUCCGGCUAACUUCGUG